AAUUUUUCGCAAUGGGGGAAACCCUGACGAAGCAACGCCGCGUGGAGGAUGAAGGCCUUCGGGUCGUAAACUCCUGUCGACCGGGACGAACGUAGAGGGGAUGAAUACCCUCUUCUAUCGACUGUACCGGUGGAGGAAGCCACGGCUAACUCGGUGCCAGCAGCCGCGGUAAUACAGAGGUGGCAAGCGUUGUUCGGAAUUACUGGGCGUAAAGGGCGCGUAGGCGGCCUUGUAAGUCCUGUGUGAAAUCCCCCGGCUCAACUGGGGAACUGCACAGGAGACUGCUUGGCUUGAGUUCGGGAGAGGGAAGCGGAAUUCCGGGUGUAGCGGUGAAAUGCGUAGAUAUCCGGAGGAACACCGGUGGCGAAGGCGGCUUCCUGGACCGACACUGACGCUGAGGCGCGAAAGCCAGGGGAGCAAAC
RNAcentral lists this ribosomal RNA (422 nucleotides) under uncultured bacterium. Its description in RNAcentral is "bacterial SSU rRNA". It matches the Rfam family "Bacterial small subunit ribosomal RNA", at positions 360 to 773 of the family's 1533-position model. The record is from RNAcentral.